This 497-nucleotide long non-coding RNA is filed under the name Trifolium pratense (red clover). Its description in RNAcentral is "long non-coding RNA (TPRA_LNC001893)". Lineage: Eukaryota; Viridiplantae; Streptophyta; Magnoliopsida; Fabales; Fabaceae. The record is from RNAcentral.
AAAUGAGGAUGAGAAGAGGUGGCCAUCGAGGUGAGGUGAGUCGCAGAUGUUGACGCCAACGACAAAUAAUAGGUGAAAGUUGAGCUAAGAUGGAACAGAGAAGUGUAAGAUAGUGAACAUGGAGGUGGUUGAGAGGACGUGCUUGAGCUGGAGAGCAAAGGAGAGAGAGGCCGAGCAGUAUGUGUUGUUGUUGCUGUCUGUUGUGAAUAAAGAUUCUAAUAUGGCAUACAAAGUCGUGAGCUGGGAGAGUAGGGUCUGAGCAUCUCACUAAGAGAGUCACAAAUUAAAGGAGUUAGCAUGGAGAGUAUAUUAUGUUUUGUACUAUUUAAGAAGCACUAGCUAUAUUAUCACUCACACGUGUUUCAACCUACCAGCAAUAUAUACAUGUCAUGCAUAUGAUCAACUUGAUUAUAUUCAUCACCAUAACACCAAAUUUCAAUAAGCUAUCUCUCGCGUAAUUCCUCUUUUUAUGACAUUCACUUUCAACUAAAAUCAUU